Molecule: small nucleolar RNA, 87 nt
Organism: Microcebus murinus (gray mouse lemur)
Lineage: Eukaryota; Metazoa; Chordata; Mammalia; Primates; Cheirogaleidae
Gene: SNORD16
Rfam family: Small nucleolar RNA SNORD16
About the family: U16 is a member of the C/D class of snoRNA which contain the C (UGAUGA) and D (CUGA) box motifs.
Source: Ensembl
UGCAAUGAUGUUGUAAUUUGUGUCUUGCUCUGUUCUCAGCAACAGUUGCCUGCUAUAAAGAAGGUUGACAAAAAUUCUUACUGAGCA